This 72-nucleotide transfer RNA is filed under the name Sporobolomyces roseus. Its description in RNAcentral is "tRNA-Val". It matches the Rfam family "tRNA". From Rfam's summary of the family: Transfer RNA (tRNA) molecules are approximately 80 nucleotides in length. Their secondary structure includes four short double-helical elements and three loops (D, anti-codon, and T loops). Lineage: Eukaryota; Fungi; Basidiomycota; Microbotryomycetes; Sporidiobolales; Sporidiobolaceae. The record is from RNAcentral. RNAcentral also lists the same sequence under 2 other names.
GCGAGAUUGGUUCAACGGUUAGAACGCUUACUUUACACGUAAGAGACAGUAGUUCGACUCUACUAUCUUGUA